UACGGAGGGGGCGAGCGUUAUCCGGAAUCAUUGGGCGUAAAGAGUGCGUAGGCGGUCUUUUAAGCGCAGGGUCUAAGGCUACGGCUUAACCGUAGUUCGCCCUGCGAACUGGAGGACUUGAGUGCUGGAGAGGAAAGCGGAAUUCCUAGUGUAGCGGUGAAAUGCGUAGAUAUUAGGAGGAACACCAGUGGCGAAGGCGGCUUUCUGGACAGUAACUGACGCUGAGGCACGAAAGCGUGGGGAGCAAACA
RNAcentral lists this ribosomal RNA (250 nucleotides) under uncultured prokaryote. Its description in RNAcentral is "partial 16S ribosomal RNA". It matches the Rfam family "Bacterial small subunit ribosomal RNA", at positions 524 to 774 of the family's 1533-position model. The record is from RNAcentral.